GAAAUGCGAUAAGUAGUGUGAAUUGCAGAAUUCAGUAAAUCAUCGAAUCUUUGAACGCACAUUGCGCCCCUUGGUAUUCCAUGGGGCAUGCCUGUUCGAGCGUCAUUUGUACCCUCAAGCUCUGCUUGGUGUUGGGUGUUUGUCCCCGUCUCCGCGCGUGGACUCGCCCCAAAGUGAUUGGCAGCCGGCGUACUGGUCCCGGAGCGCAGCACAUGUCGCGCAAACGAGUGCCUUGGUACGGCGGCGUCCAUAAGCCCCUCUCUCACGCUCUUGACCUCGGAUCAGGUAGGGAUACCCGCUGAGCUUAAGC
Molecule: unclassified non-coding RNA, 310 nt
Filed under: plant metagenome
Description: partial contains 5.8S ribosomal RNA, internal transcribed spacer 2, and large subunit ribosomal RNA
Rfam family: 5.8S ribosomal RNA (bases 1-105)
Source: RNAcentral